GGCGAAGCAAUUAAUUUUAUCUCAAUUAUCCUAAAGCAUACAAAGAUUGUGACAGAAAAUAUCUGAUUCUCUGCUUGAUAAACUUUACCACCAACCUGUUUCUCAAACAACUUCCUCUUUACCAUUGCCAUGCUUAUUAUAAGAAACUAUUUCAUUUAGGCCUUUUCUAUCAGUACAUUGCAAUUUUUUUGUUCUUCAGAAUUUAUAAUCAAUGUCAAAAGAAAUGGGUGUUUCAUUGCUUUCUUCUUCUUCUUCUUCUU
This 260-nucleotide unclassified non-coding RNA is filed under the name Hevea brasiliensis (rubber tree). The record is from RNAcentral. Lineage: Eukaryota; Viridiplantae; Streptophyta; Magnoliopsida; Malpighiales; Euphorbiaceae.